This 433-nucleotide ribosomal RNA is filed under the name uncultured bacterium. Its description in RNAcentral is "partial 16S ribosomal RNA". It matches the Rfam family "Bacterial small subunit ribosomal RNA", at positions 29 to 507 of the family's 1533-position model. The record is from RNAcentral.
AACGAACGCUGGCGGCAUGCCUAACACAUGCAAGUCGAACGAGACCUUCGGGUCUAGUGGCGCACGGGUGCGUAACGCGUGGGAACCUGCCCUUAGGUUCGGAAUAACUCCCCGAAAGGGGUGCUAAUACCGGAUAAUGUCUUCGGACCAAAUAUUUAUCGCCUUUGGAUGGGCCCGCGUUGGAUUAGCUAGUUGGUAGGGUAAAAGCCUACCAAGGCGACGAUCCAUAGCUGGUCUGAGAGGAUGAUCAGCCACACUGGGACUGAGACACGGCCCAGACUCUUGCGGGAGGCAGCAGUGGGGAAUAUUGGACAAUGGGCGAAAGCCUGAUCCAGCAAUGCCGCGUGAGUGAUGAAGGCCUUAGGGUUGUAAAGCUCUUUUACCCGGGAUGAUAAUGACAGUACCGGGAGAAUAAGCUCCGGCUAACUCCGUG